This 494-nucleotide unclassified non-coding RNA is filed under the name Hevea brasiliensis (rubber tree). Lineage: Eukaryota; Viridiplantae; Streptophyta; Magnoliopsida; Malpighiales; Euphorbiaceae. The record is from RNAcentral.
AGGCUCGGUUGCUACCAUUGGCAGCACUGAUCAUGCUCAGGACCAUCUUGGAGAAGUUGUGUUUGUGGAUUUGCCAGAUAUUGGUGGUUCUGUUUCCCAAGGAAGCAGUUUUGGAGCUGUUGAAAGUGUCAAAGCCACCAGUGACAUUAAUUGUCCUAUCUCUGGCGAGAUUGUUGAGGUCAACACAAAGCUUUCUGAAACGCCCGGCUUGAUAAAUUCGAGCCCAUAUGAAGAUGGAUGGAUGAUUAAAGUGAAGCCAAGCAGCCCAUCAGAACUAGAAUCUUUGAUGGGAUCGAAAGAGUACACAAAAUUCUGUGAAGAAGAGGAUAGUCAUUAACACAUGAAUUAAAGUGCUGCUUAAUUCAUCUUGGACUAACUCGUUAUGUGCUUAAGGUUGAUAUUGUUAUAAGAUUUCCCAGUCAAUGUAUAAAAUUGUUCAAGCAUUACCGGCAUCUUUGCCUAUGCAGUUUUAUAAUUCAAUCUUCUGUUAUUAA